CCUGGUGGCCGGGGUGGCCCUGGGAGAGAACAGAGGGGCCGGCCAGGCAGGGGCCAGGGUCACAUCCAGAGGUGGCCCUGCCUGUGAGGCCUCACCCCCAACCCCUGUGCCCCCCAGGCACUCCCCAUCUCCAUCCCUGUCCUUCCCCCACCCCCACCAACCCCUGUGGCCCCCUGGCCCCAGCCACACUACCUGCAAGCCUGGAAGCCCAUGGUCUCCCUUCUCUCCUUUGACCCCUGGUGGACCCUGGAGGGGGAAGAUGGGCUGGACAGCGAAGCGGAGGGGGCACAGGGCAGGAGGGCAGGGAAGGAGUGACACCUACCACAGGCCCCUGGACUGCACGGCCCUGGGUCCCCGGCGAGCCCUGCUGGCCUCCAGGACCUUCUGGUCCCAUCUGUCCGGGUGGCCCGGGCUCUCCCUGGAGACACAGGCAGCGGGUAGGGCCUGACAAGGUCACGCUUGCCACCCCUCCUGUGGCCCCUCUGGGUCACAGCCAGCCCUCCCAGCCCUCUGGGCAUUCAGACCCAGACCGACAUGGAGACACCUCCAUUAAAGGAGCAGGGGCAGCCCCAGCACCCUCACUGCUCACCCUGGGAGGGUCUGGGAGAACCCACAGCAGGGGUCUGCAGAGCUAGAGAAUGGCAGAGCCAAGCCUGUGAAGCCAGUUCCAACCAACCUCACCCCCAGCCCUCCCCUGCCCAACUCUGGGUUCUAACGGGGUGUGGGGGGCGCUGCAGAAAUCACCGAGGAAAAGCCAGAGACCCCCACAGGCCAACUGUAUGGAAGAGACAGAAAACUUUCUUAAGCCCUGGACCCCAAAACACUAGACUCAGGUUUUAUGGGAAAUCCAACCCUGUGGGGCAGAGGACACUGCUGCUAUUUAAACUCAAAUUAUCUUUUGAACAAAGCAAACUGAGGUUCCAAACACUAUAAAGAAAACUGUGACAGUCUUAUUUAGAAGCAUCAGUGCGAAAUCCAAAACAAAAUGUCAGCAAGCUGAGCUCUGCAGCACAUGGCAUGGAUAACGAGAAUUCAGCGACCACGUCAGAUUUUCGACGGAUGCAGCAAUCAUCCAGUAUUUAGGGAUAUCCUACAAUUAAUAGCUCCAAGACGCACAGUCAUUUCAUUAUGUCCAUAACAGCACUAGAGCUUGUUUAAUGUGCAUUCUUGGUGUUUUAAAUCUAAUAAAAGAAGAGUGGAUGGACUUCACUACCACAUGACAAAAUGCACCUGUCUCCGCUUCCAGGACAGCACUUUAAUGGUCAAAUGCUAGAAGCACUUCUGUUAGGCCAAGAAGAAAAUGAGAGUAUCUGCUACUGCCACUGUUCUCUGACAAAAUUCUGGAGUAUUCACCAACACCAUUAGACAAGAAAAAGAAAUUUGAGUGAUCAAGACUGAAAAGCCGAAGGUGAAGUGUUUAUUUGCAGGUGAUGUCACUGUAAACCUGGAAAAUCCAAGAAAACCACAAAGAAGAUAAUUGAGAAAGAAAACUGGGUACAAAAGUCAUACACAGCGGUCACGGCCAGUGUGAAAAUAAUGAGGUAGAAGCUGUAAUGAGAGAAAACACCUCACUUAUAAUAGCAACAAAAAAGAGGACAUACGUAGGGAUGAAGGAGAACCGAGUGGGUCUGUAGGAAGAGACCAUCCCCACACUGUACUGAGGGCCACAACAGGCCCUGUGAACAAAAGGCAGGAUGGCUGUGUUUUUGGAUGAGAAGAUUCAACAUCAUGAAGACAUCAUCUGUUCCCGAGUAUAUCUAUAAAGCGAAUGCAGUUCCAGUAAAAACACCAACUGAAUUGUUUAGGUUAAACGGAUAAGUCGAUUCUACAGUUCACUGAACAAUGAAAUAAGCAAAGAGAGCCAGGAAAAUUCUGGGGGAAUAAUACAAAAGA
RNAcentral lists this long non-coding RNA (1893 nucleotides) under Homo sapiens (human). RNAcentral describes it as "HSALNT0270459". The record is from RNAcentral. Lineage: Eukaryota; Metazoa; Chordata; Mammalia; Primates; Hominidae.